Molecule: long non-coding RNA, 815 nt
Filed under: Phoenix dactylifera (date palm)
Lineage: Eukaryota; Viridiplantae; Streptophyta; Magnoliopsida; Arecales; Arecaceae
Description: long non-coding RNA (PDAC_LNC008790)
Source: RNAcentral
UUUCAACGAAGAUGCAUGAAUCUAACAAAAAUAGACAAGAAAUCUUUUUAAUUUAAUAUAAUUCUUCAAUGGGAGCACAGAAAAAUAAUUACCCUAAAAGAAGGGCCAUGAAACUGAUUAAAUAACUGAGAUAAUGCUUGACAAUACUGUUUCCCCGUCAAGCAAGAGCAGAAUAGGAAAAGGUCAUCCCAUGGCACUUCAUGGCCAAGGUAAAAAAAAGAAUUUGUCCAGAAAGGGGCCUUUCUAUAAAAGAAAGUAGGGGCAUUAUGGGAAAAGGUCAUCCCAUGCAUUCACGUCAACGGGCUGAAGCAAGUGAUUUCCCAACGUUUUCAAGCAUUUCCGAGCAGGCAUCUCAACUCCCCAAGCUCUUUGACUCAAAGCAAAACUUUCCAAAAGCCAUCCACAAAUCCAACCGUCCGUGAGGAGCUUCCCAACGUUCGUCAUCCCCAAGCUGCGUCUCAUCCUGAGUAAAUUCCAGCCACGGAGUCUUCUCAACACCCCGACGGUCAUCUACGUUUCCUUCAUUCCAUCGUCCGUGGCUUCCAACGAACAGACAACGCUCCAAUCUCAUCUUCCCAUCCGACUGUGGAUCUCCCAAGCAUCGUGGCAUCUCAUCAGCGUCCUUCCGUCUCCCCUGUUUCUUCCCAGCUCAUCCACGCGUUCCAGCAGAAGAGUCCCAAGCGAUUCGACUUCAUUCAUCCCGUGUUUCAAGCAACCGGAUCAUCUCCAAGCCACGUCUCAUCCGUGGGUCUUGCAUUCAAAUCCAACAUCAAUGUCUGCAGCUUCUAAAAAUUCUGCAACGUUCCCAGCCGAAG